Molecule: long non-coding RNA, 4412 nt
Filed under: Homo sapiens (human)
Lineage: Eukaryota; Metazoa; Chordata; Mammalia; Primates; Hominidae
Description: HSALNT0083870
Source: RNAcentral
GCCAUCCCUAGGAUGGGGAAGCAGCUGCAGCUCAUUUCUAUUUAUGUAGUUUUUUUAUGUCAUUGUUGGUACUGUAAUGAUUCUCCCUCUCUCCUUUCGUUUCCUGGGCUUUGUUUCUCUCCUACCUCAGCUGGGUCCUGAGUGAGUUGCAAAGUGUUACUAGAAAGCUGGAGCCCUCUGCUGUGGGUGUGGCACUUUGACUCUGCCCAUCUUCUGCUCCACAAAUUUCUUUAAAGUGUUGGUAAAAUUAUUCCUAGAUAUCCUUCAACAUAAGGUGGCUUAUGAGUUAGACACUCAAUCUUUCCCAAAUUAUUUCCUUAGGAAACAUGUUUUGAUGCUGCUUAACACAGCUUUUGGAAGUUGAUGAACAUCAUCAAAGUGUGAACCCAUCUCAGCUGACAAGGGGGACACAAAUUUGCUGCCUUCCUAUGUCAGCAUCUGAAGAGAUGGCAUGUGGAUGGGAACCAGCCAGGACAGCUGUGGAGGCAGCCAUAUCGCUGAAGAAGUGCAGGCUGCACCUGACCUUUCCCAGUGACCAAGGCAGUGCACACAGGGCCACACAGGGACAUCCUUCCAUGUUUUAUGGUUUGUAGGUGGCUGUCGAAUUCAGCGUCAUGGGAUUUUUCAUGUGUUCCCCCAGCUUCUUUGGGAAGGAGUCCUGGUAGGGGCAGAAGUCGGUGGCCCAGCCCAGCUUCUGGCACUUCCAUGGGAGUGAGGUGCAAAGACAGAGUGCAGUACAUUUAAAGUGUUUUGCCAAAACUUUUUUAUGGGAUUUGAGUACAAAUACCAAAGGGGUUGUCCAUGGAAAGAAGUGGGCCUUAGGCUGAUAUCUUGUUGGGGGAUGCAGCGAGAUUGGGGGUAACCUCUGACCCCAUCUGUAGGAUUCACUGGAUCUGCUUGAUGUUUGCUUGUAGUUGUUUGACUGAUGAUGACAUUACUGUUUAGACAUUUGGACUGCAAGGAGAAAUCCCACCACAGAUAAGUAGAUCGUCUUGUCUUUGCAUGGGCAUGCUGCCCUGGCUUGUCUGAUGUGUGCAUUAUGGGACGUAUGCACAGGAACAGCUCAGUUACCCACUCACCAGUCGUGAGGGUGCAAGACCUCUAAAAGUGAGGCCUGUAACUUGUUCAUCUUCAAGAUAGAGACUUCACAUUUCGGUGUAAUCACCAUCAACACUUACUGAAUUGAUCCGAAUUCAAUAAAUAUGAAUUCACGGAUAAUCUGCCAAAUUUAAAAUAUUGCCCUAGUGGUUUGGGGUGCACAGAGUUAAGUGAAACCACCCAUUCUUAGGGAUCAUCCAAUGCAGGAGUGCUGGCAUAUUCAUCAGCAAGGGCUGUCACACAGAACAUCACAGGCCCUGUGCUUACGCAACCGUUUCUGCUGAGGCCUCUCUUCCUGCUUAUAGACAGUGCCUUUUCACUUUGAGCUUGCUUGGCCUCUUCUCUGUGCAUGCACAGAGAGAGAGAAAGGGAGAACAGGCAGCCUCUGGCGCCUCUUCCUGUUCUCAUGACACUAGUUAAUAAGGUUCGGUUCUGUGUCCCCACCCAAAUCUCAUCUUGAAUUGUAGCUCCCAUAAUUCCUACUUGUUGUGAGAGGACCUGGUGGGAGAUAAUUGAAUCGUGGGGGUAGUUUCUCCCCACACUAUUCUCAUGAUAGUGAAUAAGUCUCAUGAGAUCUGAUGAUUUUAUAAGGGGUUUCCCCUUGGCUUGGUUUUCAUUCUCUCUUGCCUGCUGUCAUGUAAGAUGUGUCUUUCACCUUCCAUCAUGAUUGUGAGGCCUCUCCAGCCACGUGGAACUGUGAGUCCAUUAAACUUCUUUUUCUUUAUAAAUUACCCAGUCUUUGGUAUGUCUUUAUCAGCAGUGUGGAAAUAGACUAACACACCAGUCCUAUUGGAUUAGGGCCCCACCCUUACGACCUGACUAGACCUUAAUUACUUUCCUGAAGGCCCCAUCUCUAAUAUAGUCACACUGGAGGGUUAGGGCUUCAACACAUGAAUUUGGCUGGGGAGGCACAGUUCAGUACACAACAGAUGGGAACCAUCUUUUUUUUUCUGUUUCAACUUUUUUUUCAGUAUCAACUUUUUGUUUUGUUACAGUGAUUUAGCAUAAAACAAGUAGACACUAAUGUAACAUGCUCACUUAAAAUUCCAAGAAUUCUCAAAAAUUCUCGUACUAUGAACUGACCUUCUUAGUUUCUAAAACUGAAGAAAUCAUUGUAAUUUAAAACAUAAAUCAUCUCAAUCAUAAACAUUAAGAGUUUCCUUGGUGUUCACUCUUGGGAUAUUUCAAAAGAUGAUAAAGUAUGAAAUUAAGCAGAGCCUAUUAAGAUCAACCAUUUUUUAUUAUAUGACCUAUUCAUUUCAAAAUGUAGAUGCACAUAAUAAAUAAGUUUUCCAGUGUGUGCCUGCUCAGAGGUUUCUACACUCUCAGAAAGAAACCAAGCUAAUUACACAUGAAAUAUCAACUGGUGAGCAAUUAUAACCUGAAAAAUACCCUCAUGAUUUUGUAUAUUUUAUAAAUUUAUGAGUUGGGCAAAAAAUGUUAUAUCUAUACCAUGAAUUCAGAAACAGUGGUAAAAUAUGGUCAUAACAAACAGUAUGUGUAUAUAUACACACACGUAUACACAUACACACAUUAUACAUACACGUACCUCAUACACACACACACCUCAUACACACACACCCACACACCCACACCCACCACUAUCAUAAACUUCUGCUUUUAUUUGGCUGGUAAUAUGUACAAAUGAAUAUUUCUGAUUUGUUAGCUUUCUUGGCAUAUUUCUGUCUAAUUUUUUUAAUCUCUCCUCCUUCUUUUCAGAUAAGAAAAACAUGCUCUCUCUUCUCUAAUGAUUGGACAGACUCCUACUCCAAAACAGAAGAUCUCAACUCUGGAAGGGAGGAGAAACAAGACCCCCAGGACUUGUCAAUGGCACACAUGAAAGACAGAAAACACCAGAAGCCAGUCUUCAGCCUGCUGGCCCAGCCAUGGCCACUGUAACGUACGGCUAAACCCCUGCCCCGAUCAGCUCUCAAGGCUCUGAGCCAACUGCCUAGACCGUCUAUUUGAGAUCCCUGAGAGUUUCAACACAGGGCAUGGCUGACCUCUCCACCGUGUCAUUUCCAGUAAUGCGGCCUCACUGAUAGCAGAAGUUCGGAGAGCUCUUGUCAGAGAGGCCAGCUGGCACCAUGUGAGUCUUACCCAGAGGGAAACCUGACAAUCUUCCAGCAUGCUCACCAGACUGGGGCACUGACUUUUGUCACUUGAUUCUCAACUCACAGUCUCAAGAUGCUGGUGCUAAUGUACAUUGCAGCUGACACUGGAGUUUAUUUUUAUAACUGCUCUUGCCUCAGAAAAAGCUCCAUCCCAGUACGACUUCCAGGACAGGGAUGGUCUGGAUGCUGCAGUUAGGACAAUGAUCAUCUCGUUCUCUUAGUGGUUAGGAAUCCUGUGGGCUUAUGGAAUAAGCUCGCUGAAACAGACAGUGACAUCCACGGUGACACUGACCGAAUUGUGCUCCAGUGGCCUAGAGAGUGCCUAUUAUUUAUCUCAUUUCUGUUCUGCAUAAUAACACCAACCAAACCGCUAAUGAAUGAAUAUUAUUACAUGCUUUGGUAGGAACGCAAAGGCAAAUUGGGCUCACUGUAGAGAAUAUCUUGCUCCUCAUUUUGUAUUAAAAUGCCUAGACGCCCCUCAAGAGACCAUGUCAAGGAUGAAAUUUAUCCACUGCCUGCAUUUGCUAAUUUGAAAGAGUUCUGAUUUCAUCUGCCGGGCUUAAUAUAGAAAUUCUUUUAACCUGAACAGAUACACAGAAAUGUGGAAUUUAUUCAAUGCCAUUUUCUUGAUUUAUGUCAGGAAAUAUAUAUGGCUAUGCUGUCAUCUUUUUAUAUAUAGACAUCAAUAUAUAUAAAUAUAUAGAGUCAAGUCAGAAAUUCUGAAACCACAUUGCACUUAGCCCUUACAGCAUAAUGCUUUCCAUAUUCUUCACAGUUUGUUUCCCUGAUCCUUUAGAGAGAGCUACUGUGUUUAAAGUGUAAACCAUUUUUACAGAAAAAAUGUAUUACAAUUCUAUAUGAUAAUUCUCAAAGUUCAGGAAAAUAAUCUGAAAUAAACAUUCUAAAUUGAGGAAUGAAUAAUAAAGACUCAUCAAUUGGGCUGGGAGCAGUGGCUCACGCCUGUAAUCUCAGUACUUUGGGAGACCGAGGCAGGCGGAUCACCUGAGGUCAGCCUGGCCAACCUGGUGAAACCCCGUCUCUACCAAAAAAAUACAAAAACUAGCUGGGCAUGGUGGCACAUGCCUGUAAUCCCAGCUACUCUGAAGGCUGAGGCAGGAGAAUUGCUUGAACCUGGGAGGCAAAGGUUCCAGUGAGCUGAGAUCGCCCUAUUGCACUCCAGCCUAGCUGUCUCAAAAAAAA